AGAGUUUGAUCCUGGCUCAGGACGAACGCUGGCGGCGUGCCUAACACAUGCAAGUCGAACGGAGCACUUCGGUGCUUAGUGGCGAACGGGUGAGUAACGCGUGAGAAACCUGCCUCUCAGUGGGGGACAACAGUUGGAAACGACUGCUAAUACCGCAUAAUGUAUUCGGAAGGCAUCUUCUGGAUACCAAAGCUUUAUGUGCUGAGAGAUGGUCUCGCGUCUGAUUAGCUAGAUGGCGGGGUAACGGCCCACCAUGGCGACGAUCAGUAGCCGGUCUGAGAGGAUGAACGGCCACAUUGGGACUGAGAUACGGCCCAGACUCCUACGGGAGGCAGCAGUCGGGAAUAUUGCGCAAUGGAGGAAACUCUGACGCAGUGACGCCGCGUAUAGGAAGAAGGUUUUCGGAUUGUAAACUAUUGUCAUUAGGGAAGAUAAAAGACUGUACCUAAAGAGGAAGCACCGGCUAACUAUGUGCCAGCAGCCGCGGUAAUACAUAGGGUGCAAGCGUUAUCCGGAUUUAUUGGGUGUAAAGGGUGCGUAGACGGAGAAGCAAGUUAGUUGUGAAAUCCCUCGGCUUAACUGAGGAACUGCAACUAAAACUACUUCCCUUGAGUGUCGGAGAGGAAAGUGGAAUUCCUAGUGUAGCGGUGAAAUGCGUAGAUAUUAGGAGGAACACCAGUGGCGAAGGCGACUUUCUGGACGAUAACUGACGUUGAGGCACGAAAGUGUGGGGAGCAAACAGGAUUAGAUACCCUGGUAGUCCACACUGUAAACGAUGGAUACUAGGUGUAGGAUGUAUUAAGCAUUCUGUGCCGCCGCUAACGCAUUAAGUAUCCCACCUGGGGAGUACGACCGCAAGGUUGAAACUCAAAGGAAUUGACGGGGGCCCGCACAAGCAGUGGAUUAUGUGGUUUAAUUCGACGCAACGCGAAGAACCUUACCAGGACUUGACAUCCAACUAACGAAGUAGAGAUACAUUAGGUGCCCUUCGGGGAAAGUUGAGACAGGUGGUGCAUGGUUGUCGUCAGCUCGUGUCGUGAGAUGUUGGGUUAAGUCCCGCAACGAGCGCAACCCCUAUUGUUAGUUGCUACGCGAGAGCACUCUAGCGAGACUGCCGUUGACAAAACGGAGGAAGGCGGGGACGACGUCAAAUCAUCAUGCCCCUUAUGUCCUGGGCUACACACGUAAUACAAUGGCGAUCAACAGAGGGAGGCAAAGCCGCGAGGCCGAGCAAAUCCCUAAAAGUCGUCUCAGUUCGGAUUGCAGGCUGCAACUCGCCUGCAUGAAGCUGGAAUUGCUAGUAAUCGCGGAUCAGCAUGCCGCGGUGAAUACGUUCCCGGGCCUUGUACUCACCGCCCGUCA
This 1362-nucleotide ribosomal RNA is filed under the name uncultured bacterium. Its description in RNAcentral is "bacterial SSU rRNA". It matches the Rfam family "Bacterial small subunit ribosomal RNA". The record is from RNAcentral.